RNAcentral lists this ribosomal RNA (274 nucleotides) under uncultured bacterium. RNAcentral describes it as "partial 16S ribosomal RNA". It matches the Rfam family "Bacterial small subunit ribosomal RNA", at positions 79 to 354 of the family's 1533-position model. The record is from RNAcentral.
CUAAGUUUGAUGGCGACCGGCGCACGGGUGAGUAACACGUAUCCAACCUGCCGAUGACUCGGGGAUAGCCUUUCGAAAGAAAGAUUAAUACCCGAUGGCAUAGUUCUUCCGCAUGGUAGAACUAUUAAAGAAUUUCGGUCAUCGAUGGGGAUGCGUUCCAUUAGGUUGUUGGCGGGGUAACGGCCCACCAAGCCUUCGAUGGAUAGGGGUUCUGAGAGGAAGGUCCCCCACAUUGGAACUGAGACACGGUCCAAACUCCUACGGGAGGCAGCAG